UACGUAGGUGGCGAGCGUUGUCCGGAUUUACUGGGCGUAAAGGGAGCGUAGGCGGACUUUUAAGUGAGAUGUGAAAUACUCGGGCUCAACUUGAGUGCUGCAUUUCAAACUGGAAGUCUAGAGUGCAGGAGAGGAGAAUGGAAUUCCUAGUGUAGCGGUGAAAUGCGUAGAGAUUGGGAGGAACACCGGCGGCGAAGGCGGCCUGCUGGACCGAAACUGACGUUGAGGCUCGAAAGCGUGGGGAGCAAACAGG
Molecule: ribosomal RNA, 253 nt
Filed under: uncultured bacterium
Lineage: Bacteria
Description: partial 16S ribosomal RNA
Rfam family: Bacterial small subunit ribosomal RNA
Source: RNAcentral